RNAcentral lists this ribosomal RNA (253 nucleotides) under uncultured bacterium. RNAcentral describes it as "partial 16S ribosomal RNA". It matches the Rfam family "Bacterial small subunit ribosomal RNA", at positions 524 to 776 of the family's 1533-position model. The record is from RNAcentral.
UACGGAGGGUGCAAGCGUUAAUCGGAAUUACUGGGCGUAAAGCGCACGCAGGCGGUUAUAUAAGCUAGAUGUGAAAGCCCCGGGCUUAACCUGGGAGAGUCAUUUAGAACUGUAUGACUAGAGUCUUGGAGAGGAGAGUGGAAUUUCAGGUGUAGCGGUGAAAUGCGUAGAUAUCUGAAGGAACAUCAGUGGCGAAGGCGGCUCUCUGGCCAAAGACUGACGCUCAUGUGCGAAAGCGUGGGUAGCGAACAGG